RNAcentral lists this ribosomal RNA (508 nucleotides) under uncultured Anaeromusa sp. RNAcentral's name for it is "partial 16S ribosomal RNA". It matches the Rfam family "Bacterial small subunit ribosomal RNA", at positions 86 to 572 of the family's 1533-position model. Lineage: Bacteria; Bacillati; Bacillota; Negativicutes; Selenomonadales; Sporomusaceae. The record is from RNAcentral.
UGGAUCUUAGUGGCGAACGGGUGAGUAACGCGUAGGCAAUCUGCCUUCUAGAUGGGGACAACAUCCCGAAAGGGGUGCUAAUACCGAAUGUUGUAGUUGGUUCGCAUGGACUAGCUACUAAAGGUGGCCUCUGAAUAUGCUACCGCUAGAAGAUGAGCCUGCGUCUGAUUAGCUAGUUGGAGGGGUAACGGCCCACCAAGGCUUCGAUCAGUAGCCGGUCUGAGAGGAUGAACGGCCACACUGGGACUGAGACACGGCCCAGACUCCUACGGGAGGCAGCAGUGGGGAAUCUUCCGCAAUGGACGAAAGUCUGACGGAGCAACGCCGCGUGAGUGAAGAAGGUUUUCGGAUCGUAAAGCUCUUUCGUUAGGGACGAACGUGCUCUUUGUGAAUAAUGAAGAGUAAUGACGGUACCUAAAUAAGAAGCCACGGCUAACUACGUGCCAGCAGCCGCGGUAAUACGUAGGUGGCAAGCGUUGUCCGGAAUUAUUGGGCGUAAAGCGCGCGC